GUGGGGAAUAUUGGACAAUGGGCGCAAGCCUGAUCCAGCCAUGCCGCGUGAGUGAUGAAGGCCUUAGGGUUGUAAAGCUCUUUCAGUAGGGAAGAUAAUGACGGUACCUACAGAAGAAGCCCCGGCUAACUUCGUGCCAGCAGCCGCGGUAAUACGAAGGGGGCUAGCGUUGUUCGGAUUUACUGGGCGUAAAGCGCACGUAGGCGGAUUGGUCAGUUAGAGGUGAAAUCCCGAAGCUCAACUUCGGAACUGACUUUAAUACUGCCAGUCUCGAGUCCGGAAGAGGUGAGUGGAACUCAUAGUGUAGAGGUGGAAUUCGUAGAUAUUAGGAAGAACACCAGUGGCGAAGGCGGCUCACUGGUCCGGUACUGACGCUGAGGUGCGAAAGCGUGGGGAGCAAACAGGAUUAGAAACCCCGGUAGUCC
Molecule: ribosomal RNA, 425 nt
Filed under: uncultured bacterium
Lineage: Bacteria
Description: partial 16S ribosomal RNA
Rfam family: Bacterial small subunit ribosomal RNA
Source: RNAcentral